Long non-coding RNA from Suricata suricatta (meerkat), 567 nucleotides. RefSeq lists it as uncharacterized. Lineage: Eukaryota; Metazoa; Chordata; Mammalia; Carnivora; Herpestidae. The transcript has 2 exons. The record is from RefSeq and is a predicted model, not a curated record.
CUGGCGGGCGUCCGACGGGUGAACGCCAGCCCCCGAGGCGCCCCAGGUACCUGUCGCUCGGAAUCUUCUGGCUGUCGCUGGCGCUGGCGUCUCCCCAGACCCCCAAGAGCCUGCAGGCCGGCUCCACCAGGCUCCCCUCGCCGCCCGCAUCAGAAGCCCGGCACUCACACCUCCCCGGGCCAUGGAGGCGGCCAUGACAGACGUCACGUGACCCGGGACUGGGCAUGCCCAGUGGCGGCCGCACGACCCAAGCGCCCACCAGGGGCCUGCAGGUAGCCAGGCUUCAAGGUCUGACCUAGACGAGGCUGCAAUCAUGGAAGGAACAGCUCUCCAGCGACAGAGACGGGAAUCAAAGAAGGGAGAGGACAGAGAUCAACAGGACACUGAGCCUGGUCUCCAAGAAGGGGAAGCCCAGCCUAAAGCCUCUGGGGAGAGCAAAACAGACGGGAACCAGGUCUGAUGCGCAGAGACAGACAGACGGGAGGGACCGGGUCUGGCACAUCCCCCGCUGUCUCCCUCGUGCUGGACGGGCAGCCGGUAUCAGAAACAUACUGGUUUGGAGAUUGA